UAGGGAAUCUUCCACAAUGGGCGAAAGCCUGAUGGAGCAACGCCGCGUGUGUGAUGAAGGCUUUCGGGUCGUAAAGCACUGUUGUAUGGGAAGAACAGCUAGAAUAGGAAAUGAUUUUAGUUUGACGGUACCAUACCAGAAAGGGACGGCUAAAUACGUGCAG
Molecule: ribosomal RNA, 163 nt
Filed under: uncultured bacterium
Lineage: Bacteria
Description: partial 16S ribosomal RNA
Rfam family: Bacterial small subunit ribosomal RNA
Source: RNAcentral